GACGAACGCUGGCGGCGUGCUUAACACAUGCAAGUCGAACGGAAAGGCCCUGCUUUUGUGGGGUGCUCGAGUGGCGAACGGGUGAGUAACACGUGAGUAACCUGCCAUUGACUUUGGGAUAACUUCAGGAAACUGGGGCUAAUACCGGAUAGGAGCUCCUGCUGCAUGGUGGGGGUUGGAAAGUUUCGGCGGUUGGGGAUGGACUCGCGGCUUAUCAGCUUGUUGGUGGGGUAGUGGCUUACCAAGGCUUUGACGGGUAGCCGGCCUGAGAGGGUGACCGGCCACAUAGGGACUGAGAUACGCCCCAGACUCCUACGGGCGGCAGCAGUGGGGAGUAUUGAACAAAGGGCGGAAGCAUGAUGCAUCAACGCCGCGUGCGGGAUGACGGCCUUCGGGUUGUAAACCGCUUUCGCCUGUGACGAAGCGUGAUGGACGGUAAUGGGGAAAGAAGCACCGGCUAACUACGU
Molecule: ribosomal RNA, 467 nt
Filed under: uncultured bacterium
Lineage: Bacteria
Description: partial 16S ribosomal RNA
Rfam family: Bacterial small subunit ribosomal RNA
Source: RNAcentral